Non-coding RNA from Paramuricea clavata, 120 nucleotides. The record is from the annotation of a GenBank genome assembly. NCBI's taxonomy places the organism in Eukaryota, Metazoa, Cnidaria, Anthozoa, Malacalcyonacea, Plexauridae.
UGCUGCACCCCGUGAACAAUAUUGUUAACAAGUUGUUAACAUGAUUGUCAACAAGUUGCAACAAUGUUGAUGGUUCAACAACUUGUUAACAAUAUUGUUCACGGGGUGCAGCACAACAUU